GGGUUGUGAGGUUAAGCGACUAAGCGUACACGGUGGAUGCCCUGGCAGUCAGAGGCGAUGAAGGACGUGCUAAUCUGCGAAAAGCGCCGGCGAGGUGAUAUGAACCUUUGACCCGGCGAUGUCCGAAUGGGGAAACCCAGUGUGUUCCGACACACUAUCGUUAACUGAAUACAUAGGUUAACGAGGCGAACCGGGGGAACUGAAACAUCUAAGUACCCCGAGGAAAAGAAAUCAACCGAGAUUCCCCCAGUAGCGGCGAGCGAACGGGGAGCAGCCCAGAGUCUGAAUCAGCUUGUGUGUUAGUGGAAGCGUCUGGAAAGUCGCACGGUACAGGGUGACAGUCCCGUACACGAAAGCACACAGGUUGUGAACUCGAAGAGUAGGGCGGGACACGUGGUAUCCUGUCUGAAUAUGGGGGGACCAUCCUCCAAGGCUAAAUACUCCUGACUGACCGAUAGUGAACCAGUACCGUGAGGGAAAGGCGAAAAGAACCCCGGCGAGGGGAGUGAAAAAGAACCUGAAACCGUGUACGUACAAGCAGUGGGAGCACCUUCGUGGUGUGACUGCGUACCUUUUGUAUAAUGGGUCAGCGACUUAUAUUCUGUAGCAAGGUUAACCGUAUAGGGGAGCCGAAGGGAAACCGAGUCUUAACUGGGCGUUAAGUUGCAGGGUAUAGACCCGAAACCCGGUGAUCUAGCCAUGGGCAGGUUGAAGGUUGGGUAACACUAACUGGAGGACCGAACCGACUAAUGUUGAAAAAUUAGCGGAUGACUUGUGGCUGGGGGUGAAAGGCCAAUCAAACCGGGAGAUAGCUGGUUCUCCCCGAAAGCUAUUUAGGUAGCGCCUCGUGAACUCAUCUUCGGGGGUAGAGCACUGUUUCGGCUAGGGGGCCAUCCCGGCUUACCAACCCGAUGCAAACUACGAAUACCGAAGAAUGUUAUCACGGGAGACACACGGCGGGUGCUAACGUCCGUCGUGAAGAGGGAAACAACCCAGACCGCCAGCUAAGGUCCCAAAGUCAUGGUUAAGUGGGAAACGAUGUGGGAAGGCACAGACAGCCAGGAUGUUGGCUUAGAAGCAGCCAUCAUUUAAAGAAAGCGUAAUAGCUCACUGGUCGAGUCGGCCUGCGCGGAAGAUGUAACGGGGCUAAACCAUGCACCGAAGCUGCGGCAGCGACGCUUAUGCGUUGUUGGGUAGGGGAGCGUUCUGUAAGCCGUUGAAGGUGGCCUGUGAGGGUUGCUGGAGGUAUCAGAAGUGCGAAUGCUGACAUAAGUAACGAUAAAGCGGGUGAAAAGCCCGCUCGCCGGAAGACCAAGGGUUCCUGUCCAACGUUAAUCGGGGCAGGGUGAGUCGACCCCUAAGGCGAGGCCGAAAGGCGUAGUCGAUGGGAAACAGGUUAAUAUUCCUGUACUUGGUGUUACUGCGAAGGGGGGACGGAGAAGGCUAUGUUAGCCGGGCGACGGUUGUCCCGGUUUAAGCAUGUAGGCGGAGGUUCCAGGUAAAUCCGGUACCUUUUAACGCUGAGGUGUGAUGACGAGGCACUACGGUGCUGAAGUAACAAAUGCCCUGCUUCCAGGAAAAGCCUCUAAGCAUCAGGUAACAUCAAAUCGUACCCCAAACCGACACAGGUGGUCAGGUAGAGAAUACCAAGGCGCUUGAGAGAACUCGGGUGAAGGAACUAGGCAAAAUGGUGCCGUAACUUCGGGAGAAGGCACGCUGAUAUGUAGGUGAAGCCCCUGCGGGUGGAGCUGAAAUCAGUCGAAGAUACCAGCUGGCUGCAACUGUUUAUUAAAAACACAGCACUGUGCAAACACGAAAGUGGACGUAUACGGUGUGACGCCUGCCCGGUGCCGGAAGGUUAAUUGAUGGGGUUAGCGGCAACGCGAAGCUCUUGAUCGAAGCCCCGGUAAACGGCGGCCGUAACUAUAACGGUCCUAAGGUAGCGAAAUUCCUUGUCGGGUAAGUUCCGACCUGCACGAAUGGCGUAAUGAUGGCCAGGCUGUCUCCACCCGAGACUCAGUGAAAUUGAACUCGCUGUGAAGAUGCAGUGUACCCGCGGCAAGACGGAAAGACCCCGUGAACCUUUACUAUAGCUUGACACUGAACACUGGUCCUUGAUGUGUAGGAUAGGUGGGAGGCUUUGAAGUGUGGACGCCAGUCUGCAUGGAGCCGUCCUUGAAAUACCACCCUUUAAUGGCUGGUGUUCUAACGUAGACCCGUAAUCCGGGUUGCGGACAGUGUCUGGUGGGUAGUUUGACUGGGGCGGUCUCCUCCCAAAGAGUAACGGAGGAGCACGAAGGUUAGCUAAUCCUGGUCGGACAUCAGGAGGUUAGUGCAAUGGCAUAAGCUAGCUUGACUGCGAGAGUGACGGCUCGAGCAGGUGCGAAAGCAGGUCAUAGUGAUCCGGUGGUUCUGAAUGGAAGGGCCAUCGCUCAACGGAUAAAAGGUACUCCGGGGAUAACAGGCUGAUACCGCCCAAGAGUUCAUAUCGACGGCGGUGUUUGGCACCUCGAUGUCGGCUCAUCACAUCCUGGGGCUGAAGUAGGUCCCAAGGGUAUGGCUGUUCGCCAUUUAAAGUGGUACGCGAGCUGGGUUUAGAACGUCGUGAGACAGUUCGGUCCCUAUCUGCCGUGGGCGCUGGAGAAUUGAGGGGGGCUGCUCCUAGUACGAGAGGACCGGAGUGGACGCAUCACUGGUGUUCGGGUUGUCAUGCCAAUGGCACUGCCCGGUAGCUAAAUGCGGAAAAGAUAAGUGCUGAAAGCAUCUAAGCACGAAACUUGCCCCGAGAUGAGUUCUCCCUGAGACUUUAAGUCUCCUGAAGGAACGUUGAAGACGACGACGUUGAUAGGUCGGGUGUGUAAGCGCAGCGAUGCGUUGAGCUAACCGAUACUAAUGAACCGUGAGGCUUAACCUUACAACGCCGAAGGUGUUU
Molecule: ribosomal RNA, 2932 nt
Filed under: Enterobacter cloacae
Lineage: Bacteria; Pseudomonadati; Pseudomonadota; Gammaproteobacteria; Enterobacterales; Enterobacteriaceae
Also listed under: 1 other name
Description: bacterial LSU rRNA
Rfam family: Bacterial large subunit ribosomal RNA
Source: RNAcentral